RNAcentral lists this ribosomal RNA (253 nucleotides) under uncultured bacterium. RNAcentral describes it as "partial 16S ribosomal RNA". It matches the Rfam family "Bacterial small subunit ribosomal RNA", at positions 524 to 776 of the family's 1533-position model. The record is from RNAcentral.
UACGUAGGGUGCAAGCGUUGUCCGGAAUUAUUGGGCGUAAAGAGCUCGUAGGCGGUCUGUCGCGUCGGAUGUGAAAAUCCAGGGCUCAACCCUGGACCUGCAUUCGAUACGGGCAGACUAGAGUUCGGUAGGGGAGACUGGAAUUCCUGGUGUAGCGGUGAAAUGCGCAGAUAUCAGGAGGAACACCGGUGGCGAAGGCGGGUCUCUGGGCCGAAACUGACGCUGAGACGCGAAAGCGUGGGGAGCGAACAGG